GGUAUUUUGACUGUGCUAAGGUAGCAUAAUCAUUUGUUAUUUAAUUGAUAACUGGCAUGAAAGGUUUAACUAAUUUAUUAAGUUUGUGGGAUUAAAUAGAAAAUUAAAGUUAAGGUAAGAAUUCUUUAAUUUUCUAGGGGACGAUAAGACCCUAGAAGCUUGAUAAAUAGAACUCUUUUUGUUUUAGAAGUUUAUUUAUUUUACUGGGGCGGUAAAAUUAAUUAAUCUAUUUAAGAUUUGGGGGAUCCUUUAAAUAAAGAAAAAACGGAGAAGUUACUCUAGGGAUAACAGUACAAUAUUUUUGGAUAGGCCUUAUUGAUAAAAAUGUUUGUAACCUCGAUGUUGAAUUAAGAUAUCUCUAUAAAGCAGAAAGUAUAGAAGAAGGUUGUUCAACC
This 395-nucleotide ribosomal RNA is filed under the name Gammarus tastiensis (nom. nud.). RNAcentral's name for it is "Gammarus sp. ZEH-2007c partial 16S ribosomal RNA". It matches the Rfam family "Bacterial large subunit ribosomal RNA", at positions 1935 to 2586 of the family's 2925-position model. Lineage: Eukaryota; Metazoa; Arthropoda; Malacostraca; Amphipoda; Gammaridae. The record is from RNAcentral.